CAAUGUCAUCACAACAUCUUCUUCAAGUAAAGGCUUGUCAACAACAGCAAGUUGGUUUGCAAGUGCUUUUACCUUAUUCACAUGAGCCAUGAAAUCUUCACUUUCUUCCAUCUUCACGGUGAAGAAUUUUUACCUUGACCAUAGCACAUUGAAGAGAUUCCUAUUGAAGAAACAUAAGAGGCAUAACACAAGUAAGUAGAAAUCAGCAAAGUUGCACAUAAGAGAAGUGUGGAAUGAUAUGGUUCUCUCUUCCAACACUCGUUACUUAUAGGUGGUGGUUGCUGCCCUCAAAGGACUUCUUCCACCAUUUGACUUUUACACAUAUGCUCCUAGGAUCCUUGGCUCGUCCCACAAGGGUAUCCAAUGAUCCUAGGAUCUUUCUGCAUCUUCCAUACCACGAGGGCAUCUUAUGCCAUAUACUAAUACCUCUUACCUAGUCCUUUGGAUAUUCUCCAGAAGACACUUUAUCCUUUUGACGUUGACUCUUUAUCUUUGACCGCAUCCUAUGUCUAUAGGAUGCUCUUUCUAUAUGACAAGAGUCAAUCCUUUGACCAUUAGCAACUUACCUAUGAUAAUAUCCUUUACUACGUAACAUAUUCUACUUUUACUAUUAUCUAUUUAUUUCAACACUCCCACUUUGCUAAUUGUCAAAGGCCUUCAAACAUAUUGCCUUUCUUAACAUGUGAUGCCUAUCUUUUACUAAUGCCUUUGUCAACAAAUCAGCAAGUAUAUCUUUCGUUGUACAAUACUUCAAGUCAAUCACUCCCAUUGCAAUCUUCUCUCUUAUGAAGUGAUGUUGAAUGUCAAUGUGCUAGGUUCUUGAAUGAUGCUUUGGACUCUUUGCAAAAACAAGGCAUCCUUGAUUGUCACAAUUCAUUGGAGUUGCUUCUUAUUAUACAAGUCCAAUGUCCUCAAAAACUUGCCUUAACCAUGUUCCUUCCAUUGCACCAUGGCUUGCUGCCAUGUACUCCGCCUUCAUUGUAGACCUUGCAAUUGUAGGUUGUCUCUUGAAAUUCCAUGAAAUUGCUCCCACUCCAACAAAGAAUACAUAGCCUGUUGUUGACCUCCUAUCAUUUGCAUCUCCUACCCAAUCUGCAUCACAAUAACCAUGUAAAGCAAUACUUUCACCUCCAAGAUACAAUUUGAAGUCCAAUGUGCCUUUUAAGUACCUCAUGAUCCUCUUGAUGGUCGUCCAAUGGAUUGGCCCUCUUUUUGACAUGUGUUGACUCACAACACUCACUACAUAAGCAAGAUCCACCAUUGUGCCAACCAUUGCAUACAUGAGUGAACCAACUGCUGCCUUGUAUGGAACACCUUGCAUUUGGCCUUCAACUUGUGCAAACUCUUCAUCCGUGAGCUUCAUCAACUUCAAAUUGGACUCCAAAGGUGUUCCAAUAGGCUUGCAAUCCUCCAUGUUGAAUCGUUUCAACACUCCUUCAAUGUACUUCCUUUGGCUUAUUGUGAUGGUCUUGUUAGCACGAUCUCUAGCGAAUUCCACUCCUAAGCAAUAGUGAAGCUCUCCCAAAUCACUCAUCUCAUAUUCAUUUUCUAACUUUGCCUUCAACCAAUCCAUCUUCUUCAAAGUAUUGGUUAAGAUGAUUAAAUCAUCUACAUAAAGGAUAAUAAUCAUCAAGAACUCUUUUGAUUGUAUCACAUACAUAGAAUGGUCAGCCUCACUUCUUUGGAAUCCCUCAUUAACAAAGAAUGUGUCAAUUCUUUGAUACCAUGCCCUUGGAGAUUGCUUGAGUCCAUACAAGGAUUUCUUCAACUUACAAAUAAGAUUUUGCUUGCCUUCUUCUACAAAUCUUUAAGGUUGAUCCAUGUAGAUGUCUUCUUCCAACUCUCCAUUCAAGAAAGUCGUCUUCACAUCCAUUUGAUGCAUCUCCAAAUCCAUUGCUGCCCCAAUUGGUUCUAAUAGUGGUGAACUUGGCCACAUGAUUAAAUGUCUCAUUAAAAUCAACACUAGCAACUUGUGAAUAACCUUUGGCAACUAACCUUGCCUUAUAUCUGACAAUAUCACCCAUUGCAUCCGUCUUAAUUCUAAACACCCACUUACAACCAAUUGAAGAUCGAUUUGGUGGAAGUUGAGUCAAUUUCCAUGUUCUAUUCCUCAUGAGAGAUUUGUACUCUUCUUCCAUAGCCUCCUCCCACUUCAAUACAUCCGUGGACUUCAUAGCAUCACAUAUACUCAAUGGAUCAGCAAGGAGUGCAACAUUGGCAUGUUCUUCACUUACUUGAGGAAAGAUGUGAUCAUUCCACCAUUCACCAUGUUGUUUUCUUUCUCUUGUAGGAUAUCUUCUUUCAUUUGAAGAAGAUUCACCUUGAUGCUCUCCAACCUUCUUUUCUUAUAAACCUUGUCUCUUUUCACUCAAAGGUUUGCCUUCCAAUACCAUGAAUCUUCAAAUACUCAUCAAAAUGCUUUGACAAAUACUCACCUCCAUUGUCUGUACGUAAGACCUUGAUCUUGCACUCACAUUGCUUCUCCACAAGUGCCUUAAACUCCUUAAACCUUGAAAAGCACUCACUUUUGGCUUUAAGGAUGAAAAUCCAAACCUUCCUUGAAAAGUCAUCAAUGAAUGUAACAAAGUACCUUGAUCCAGCCAUUGAUGGUGUCUUCAGAGGUCCACAAACAUCCGAAUGUACAAUCUCCAAGAAUUUGCUUGGAAGUGUUGCAACUCCACUUGGAAAUGAAGCUCUUUGUUGUUUGCCUUGAAUACAUCCUUCACAAGAAAGAUUUGUGCAUGAAUGACCAAGAUCUAAGCCACUUACCAUGGAUUGGACCUCCUUCAUACUUUUGGCAUUCAAAUGACCAAGGCGUCGAUGCCAAAUGCCAAACUUGUCUUGAUCUUGUGGAAUUUCAGCAAAUGCCGCCACUUCAACUCCAUUCAUCUUCUUACAAUUGAUGAAGUAGAGAUUGCCAUCUCUAAAGCCUUUCAAAACAUGAUUUCCAUCCAUUGUCUUCACAAAGCAUCCAUUCAUAUCAAAUUGCACCUUACAACCAUAAGAAACAAGUUUACUCACCGAAAGAAGGUUCUUCUUCAUCUUUGGCACAUCUAACACUUCUUUCAAUCUCAUCUUCUUCAUUUCAUUCUUCACAACAAUCUCCACCACAAUGGAGCCAAUUCCAAUGGCUUGCACCAUGCCAUUAUCUCCUAACCAUACUUUUGUUGCUAUAAUAGCCUCAUAAGUGUCAAAUGAACACUUGUAUGGAGUCAUGUGCUUGGUAGCACCCAAAUCAAUGAUCCAUUUGGACAUGGCAGCCAUGGACGUGCCUUCACUUGCCAUGAAUGCAUAAUCAUCUCCACCAACUUCAUCACAUGCAUUGUUAGCAUUCUCUCUAUCUCUUUUCUUGGCUUUGUAGAAAUUUCGUGUAAAAUGACCCGGUUUUCCACAAAUGAAGGAAGUUCUUGCAUUGCUUCUCACAUUGUCAUGUUGGUUGGAAUUGGUACCUUUGCCUUGUCUUGAGAAGAGAGCCGAAUCUUCAGUUUGAUGCUCCUUCUCUUUCCUUUUAGUAACUUCAUGGGUAAGUCUUGAGGUCACAUAAUCCAUUGAAAGCUCCUUAAACCUCAAAGACUCCAAUGCCACAAUGAGAUAGUUGUAGGAUUUGGGAAGACUCAUGAGUAGGGUCAUGACAAUAUCACCAUCUUCCAAAGGCUUGUCAACAAUUGCCAAUUGAUUUGCAAGGACCUUUACCUUAUUAACAUGAGCCAUGAGGUCUUCACUUUCUUCUAUCUUACAAGUGAAGAAUUUCCUCCUUGUGAAGAGGAUGUUGGACAAGUUCUUGCUCUCAUAAAUGUUGCAAAGAGUCUUCCAUACUUCCGCUGGUCCUUUGCAAUGGAUAAUGUGAAAAAAGUUGGCUUCAUCCAAAUUGGUGGCAAUCAUGCCAAAAUCCUUCUUUUCUCCUCUUUUGAAGUCCUUGUGGUCCUUAGGGCUUGCAUCUAGGCUUGGAGGGUCUUUACUCUCAUCUAUAAUAUCCCAAAGGUACAAAGAUGCCAACAAAAGCUCCAUUUUGACCUUCCAAUGGUAGAAAUUGUUGCCUCUAAACUUCUCAAUGACUCUCAAACCUUCACCCUCACUAGAAGCCAUGUCUAAGGAGGAGUGUAUCAAAAAAUAUUGAGAAAAGGAGGCACUGUGAGCUUAAAAUGAUCCAACCAAGUUUACACUAGCAGAAUCUUAGAAUGCCGUGUUAUGAACAAAAUAGGGGUUUUUCACUCAAAACACUUUCAACGUAACUUGGAAUGCUUUUUACAAGUAAUUCUACUCUCAUGAACCUCACACUUUAGUUCUUUCACUCGUCUAAAUGUCUUUCUCAUAAGAACACAUAGGUUGAAAGAAGUAACUUCACCAACUAAAUAAAGACACUAUCAAGGUCUUUCUAUAAACUCUUAAUCUCACAAAGCAAGGAGAUAAGAACCCACAAAGCAAUGUUAAAGAUGUAUAAGCUCAAGAACAACUCCCCCUUUAUACAAACGAUCCUAACAUCAGCAAACACCAUGAGAUUUAUUCCACACAAAAAGCAACAACAAGAAAAUGGAUUCAACUUACUUGAAUAGCACAACAAAGAGUGUGUGGGCCCAUAACCUAUUAAAGAAACACAAGAGGCAUAUCACAAGUAAGUAGAAAUCAGCAAGGUUGCACAUAAGAGAAGUGUGGAAUGAUAUGGUUCUCUCUUCCAACACUCGUUACUUAUAGGUGGUGGUUGCUGCCCUCAAAGGA
Molecule: long non-coding RNA, 4716 nt
Filed under: Physcomitrium patens
Lineage: Eukaryota; Viridiplantae; Streptophyta; Bryopsida; Funariales; Funariaceae
Description: long non-coding RNA (PPAT_LNC001841)
Source: RNAcentral